CCACUGCCUCCCGCAGUUUGCUAGACUACAACUCCCAUAAUCCCCUGAACAUCAGCUGGCGGGGCUGAUGGGAGUUGGAGUCCAACGUCCUUUCCCAACAGUUAUGGCAACCAUGUGGGGCAUUUAAGAGUGCGGCAUUUGUUUAAGCGGGAGGCGCUGUGGGUUAAACCACAGAGCCUAGGACUUGCCGAUCAGAAGGUCGGCGGUUCGAAUCCCCGCGAUGGACGGGGUGAGCUCCCGUUGCUCGGUCCCUGCUCCUGCCAACCUAGCAGUUCAAAAGCA
Non-coding RNA from Podarcis lilfordi (Lilford's wall lizard), 282 nucleotides. NCBI's taxonomy places the organism in Eukaryota, Metazoa, Chordata, Lepidosauria, Squamata, Lacertidae. The record is from the annotation of a GenBank genome assembly.